RNAcentral lists this ribosomal RNA (805 nucleotides) under uncultured Burkholderiales bacterium. RNAcentral's name for it is "SSU rRNA". It matches the Rfam family "Bacterial small subunit ribosomal RNA", at positions 63 to 865 of the family's 1533-position model. The record is from RNAcentral. Lineage: Bacteria; Pseudomonadati; Pseudomonadota; Betaproteobacteria; Burkholderiales.
CGAACGGCAGCACGGACUUCGGUCUGGUGGCGAGUGGCGAACGGGUGAGUAAUGUAUCGGAACGUGCCCAGUAGCGGGGGAUAACUACGCGAAAGCGUAGCUAAUACCGCAUACGCCCUACGGGGGAAAGCAGGGGAUCGCAAGACCUUGCACUAUUGGAGCGGCCGAUAUCGGAUUAGCUAGUUGGUGGGGUAACGGCUCACCAAGGCGACGAUCCGUAGCUGGUUUGAGAGGACGACCAGCCACACUGGGACUGAGACACGGCCCAGACUCCUAUGGGAGGCAGCAGUGGGGAAUUUUGGACAAUGGGGGAAACCCUGAUCCAGCCAUCCCGCGUGUGCGAUGAAGGCCUUCGGGUUGUAAAGCACUUUUGGCAGGAAAGAAACGUCAUGGGCUAAUACCCCGUGAAACUGACGGUACCUGCAGAAUAAGCACCGGCUAACUACGUGCCAGCAGCCGCGGUAAUACGUAGGGUGCAAGCGUUAAUCGGAAUUACUGGGCGUAAAGCGUGCACAGGCGGUUCGGAAAGAAAGAUGUGAAAUCCCAGAGCUUAACUUUGGAACUGCAUUUUUAACUACCGAGCUAGAGUGUGUCAGAGGGAGGUGGAAUUCCGCGUGUAGCAGUGAAAUGCGUAGAUAUGCGGAGGAACACCGGUGGCGAAGGCAGCCUCCUGGGAUAACACUGACGCUCAUGCACGAAAGCGUGGGGAGCAAACAGGAUUAGAUACCCUGGUAGUCCACGCCCUAAACGAUGUCAACUAGCUGUUGGGGCCUUCGGGCCUUGUAGCGCAGCUAACGCGUGAAGU